UGGGGAAUUUUGGACAAUGGGCGCAAGCCUGAUCCAGCUAUUCCGCGUGUGGGAUGAAGGCCCUCGGGUUGUAAACCACUUUUGUAGAGAACGAAAAGACACCUUCGAAUAAAGGGUGUUGCUGACGGUACUCUAAGAAUAAGCACCGGCUAACUACGUGCCAGCAGCCGCGGUAAUACGUAGGGUGCGAGCGUUAAUCGGAAUUACUGGGCGUAAAGGGUGCGCAGGCGGUUGAGUAAGACAGAUGUGAAAUCCCCGAGCUUAACUCGGGAAUGGCAUAUGUGACUGCUCGGCUAGAGUGUGUCAGAGGGAGGUGGAAUUCCACGUGUAGCAGUGAAAUGCGUAGAUAUGUGGAAGAACACCGAUGGCGAAGGCAGCCUCCUGGGACAUAACUGACGCUCAGGCACGAAAGCGUGGGGAGCAAACAGG
RNAcentral lists this ribosomal RNA (429 nucleotides) under Acidobacteriota bacterium. RNAcentral's name for it is "Acidobacteria bacterium partial 16S ribosomal RNA". It matches the Rfam family "Bacterial small subunit ribosomal RNA", at positions 355 to 776 of the family's 1533-position model. The record is from RNAcentral. Lineage: Bacteria; Pseudomonadati; Acidobacteriota.